Molecule: long non-coding RNA, 2124 nt
Organism: Astyanax mexicanus (Mexican tetra)
Lineage: Eukaryota; Metazoa; Chordata; Actinopteri; Characiformes; Acestrorhamphidae
Exons: 4
Source: RefSeq, a predicted model, not a curated record
CCAUUUCAGCUCUAGGUGAAGUGCGGUCCCUCUAGUACUAAACUACAGCGUGGUAACGGCUGAAAAUUACAGCACAAAAGCAGCUGCUUGUCGAGAAAAACAGUCCCUGUGCUGGGAGAGUAGCUCGUUAUUCAGCUCUUAAACACCAGAGGGAUUUUUUUUUCCCGGACGAGCAGCUGCUGCAGGCCAUCAGGCUAACUGUAGCUAACUAGCCAUCCUCUACGGUAGUUUAGCGAACAAGCGUUACCUAGGUUACAGCGUUAUUCGCCAUUAACACGCUGUAGUUUAUUAAUAUUAAUGACCGAGAGCUUAAACAGCCAGCUAGCUAAAUUACUCACCGGUACUGAAAGAGCUCCUCCCCCCGCGCUACUCUACUGUAAUCCGGCAGGGUUAUCGCUCCUGCAAGCCCACCGCUCAGCGUGUUUUAGUGUCGCUGUUUUAAGACUCACUGAGGGACUGUUAAUGAAAACACAGUACAGAGCAGCGGACCUUCAGGACUAGAGUAUAAAAAUACCGGAUUAUUUGACUCCAACAUUGAUGGCUGUUCGCUAUAAAUCACAGCGUGGGUUAAACUGCUGCAGACGAGAUCCCGGAGCAAAGGAGGACCGGUUUCAGAGUUGCCAGAAUCACCGCUGAGCCGGUGGCGGGCGGGGCUGGAGUGGAUGCAGGGCCAAACUAAUAAACACAGCUUCUAGCACAGCUUGGAUGAGCAGCAGAAUAUCAAUCAAGCAUUUCUGAGGAUUACUGUUCCACUUCAACCGUGAUUCCCCGCUUCCUUGGAAUAGCGAAGGAGGAGUUUUCAAGGAGAAGACACAGAACGUCCUAUCAGCUCAGUCACUCUCCUGAUAAACUCUGAUAGUAGAAUCUGAAGAAGCCAGAAGAGUCAGAAGAAGAUGGUUCGUGUUUAUCAGGUUAAAGCAGCAGAUAUCUAUCUUUCUAAAGCUUGGUUUCGUGUGUUGUAAAAAGCUGUAAGCUUAAGCAGAAUCAAGUGCACAAUAAUUAUCAAACAGUGACUCAUAAUUUUAUCUGACUACUUAAUGGUGUGAACCUGAUCUCCACCCUUAGUGAGCAUUGUAUGUGCUUGCACCUUCUGCUGAUGCACGUACUGUAUUGUACGCACAUGUGUGUGUGUGUGUGUGUGAGUGUGAUUAUUUGCUUUAUAGUGGAUACUGUGUUGCUGUAAUCUCUUCCCCUUACAUAACCCAGUUGGGGAAGACCGCAGGUCGUAAGCAGUUAUUAGCGGAGCUGCUUCAGGCCAGCUGUUCAAAUCCAGCUUGAUGUUUAGACAAGAGUUCUGGGGUUAAGAGCGCUUAGUCUCUGUGCUUUUCACUUUUUGUAUGUGAGAAACGUUUGUUAGCUCCACUGAUUUGUUAGGGAGGUUGCACAAACAGUCGUGCACCUUCCUAGUGUGAAAAUAUGAAUGCUGUCAAUGUUUGUUUAUUCUUACAAAUACAAUUCUGUUUAUUGGGUGAGCAAAAUGGACAUAGAUCACAGAGCAGAAAUUCAAUGCAUGCAAAGAUUUUAUACAACAGCUCCCGUUAAUUACUUAACCCACCCUCGCAAAAAUAAAAAAUUAUCAGAUUGAUGUCAGAUUGAAAAGAAAAAACAAAAGGAAAAAAUAGGGCUGAUAUACAAGAGUAUUGAUGUGUAGCAGACUUCCCAAGUCUCCCUCUACUGCAUAUCAAUAACGGCUCCCUGAUGCCUGCAAGUCAGAUAAAAUCUCCGGUAAUCUAGAAUGAGUAGCCCAAGAGUAAACACAAACAUGCCUGCAGGCGACACAGACUUUUUUUUUUUUUUUACCAAUUGCGUGUGUAAAAGAGAGGGAGAGAAAUGUUUGCAUUAUUUGAGGUAUCUUUUUUGUUUCAUUUUCUGCAAAUAAAUGCUCUAAAUGACAAUAUGUUUAUUUGGAAUUUGGGAGAAAUUUUGUCUGUAGUUUAUAGAAUAAAACAACAAUGUUCAUUGUACUCAAACAUAAACCUAUAAAUAGCAAAAUCAGAUAAACUAAUUUAGAAACUUAAGUGUUUCUUUUCUUAGUAUCCUUUUUGGUAUGUGAAUGCAAGACUUUGUGCAGGGGAUUAUAAGGAGGGUCAGGGGUACCUCUCUGAAAUAAAUUUUUCAACUUGA